Molecule: unclassified non-coding RNA, 253 nt
Filed under: uncultured Pseudomonadaceae bacterium
Lineage: Bacteria; Pseudomonadati; Pseudomonadota; Gammaproteobacteria; Pseudomonadales; Pseudomonadaceae
Description: contains 16S-23S intergenic spacer region
Rfam family: Bacterial small subunit ribosomal RNA
Source: RNAcentral
UACAGAGGGUGCAAGCGUUAAUCGGAAUUACUGGGCGUAGAGCGCGCGUAGGUGGUUUGCUAAGUUGGAUGUGAAAGCCCCGGGCUCAACCUGGGAACUGCAUCCAAAACUGGCCGGCUAGAGUACAGUAGAGGGUGGUGGAAUUUCCUGUGUAGCGGUGAAAUGCGUAGAUAUAGGAAGGAACACCAGUGGCGAAGGCGACCACCUGGACUGAUACUGGCACUGAGGUGCGAAAGCAUGGGGAGCGAACAGG